ACAUACGACCACACCCACUGGAAAACUCGGGAUCCCGUCCGCUCUCCCAUAGAUAAGCCAGUGAGGGCCGGAUUAGUAGUUGGGUCGCUGACGACCAGCGAAUACCUGGUGUUGUAUGUU
This 120-nucleotide ribosomal RNA is filed under the name Colletotrichum orchidophilum. The record is from RNAcentral. Lineage: Eukaryota; Fungi; Ascomycota; Sordariomycetes; Glomerellales; Glomerellaceae.